Molecule: long non-coding RNA, 657 nt
Organism: Pseudoliparis swirei
Lineage: Eukaryota; Metazoa; Chordata; Actinopteri; Perciformes; Liparidae
Exons: 4
Source: RefSeq, a predicted model, not a curated record
ACAGCAAUCAACACAAAAAAAGCAGAUUGAACUGUUGAACCCGGUUUCGCGCCACUUCUCCGCAGUUUGAGCUGCGCGCUGCUCUCUCCUGCGUCAGUGACUCACGAAACACCACAGAGGGAACGACAGCCUCCUGACAUGACAGCUCUUCUUGAGACAUUGUAAUCCAACUUGGAUGGAACAACUUCGUGACCUUAAUGACACCCAGCAACACGAGCUAGAGAGACACACAAGCACCACAGGGGAGGAUCUGCAGCAAAGGGACCACCGGAAAUCAAACCUUGGCCGCUAUGAUGACGACAACAUGGGGCACUUGAGUGUGAAUCUAGCCUUUUCAUUUUUAUUUACAACAUUAGCAUUGAAAAGAGCAAAAGUUGAUGCUUGAGAUGAUUUUGUUUUUACUGAAGAGGAUGUAUGUCCUCCCCUUGUCCUUUAUCCCCUUACUCUUUCUUUUUAGGUGUGAUUACGACUACCAGCAUGGACCUCAACACCUUCUUUGCUGUUCCACUAGUGUGACCCAUGAUCGGAUACAAGUUGUCAAGGAUAAACGGGAAGAGAAUCAUGUCAGCCCACAGACAACCGAUUGACCUGUGAGUCUUCAAGCAGUAAUGAUGACUACUCCUGCCUUAAGUUCCAGUUUCCUGAACAUCAUGUCGG